This is a long non-coding RNA of Melitaea cinxia (Glanville fritillary), 730 nucleotides long. RefSeq lists it as uncharacterized. The transcript has 2 exons. The record is from RefSeq and is a predicted model, not a curated record. NCBI's taxonomy places the organism in Eukaryota, Metazoa, Arthropoda, Insecta, Lepidoptera, Nymphalidae.
GUUGCGAUUUUAUUUGUUGCAGCUCCGACAUCGUAGUAACUUUCUUUCGGGACUUGUCUGGGAAUAAAAUCACAAUAGCUCCAUCAGCCGUCCAGCAUUUUUUCAUGCCAAAAUAAUUGCGAGCUGCCACAAAUAUGUCUUGCCGGGUCUUAGUUAAAAACUCGGUAAUUGUGACCUUAGUACCUUUUAAACUGGUUUUAGCUUUCCACGCUUUAGAGCGAAGCUGCAUGUUUGAAAAACGAACAAGUAUGGGCCGUGCAGAGUCCUUUUUAGUGCCAAGUCUGUGGCAAGAACUAAGAUGUUCUACUUUUAUGUCAGGUAUCUUCAUUUGGUUAGAUAACACUGCAAGGACUCUUUUCUGCACAUCUUCAUCCUUGUCUUCUUUUAUACCAUGGAACAGAAGAAGUUUCUUGCGGGAUUGUGUCUCAAUUCGAUCCAUGCCUUGAGCCAACAGUUCAAUUUGGGACUUAAGCAAGGACAGAGUUUUCCAUACCAGGGUUUUGAAGGUAACCAUUGAAGACAGUUCCUCCAUAUUCUUCUGAAGAUGUUCGAUUGAGGAGUUCAUUGUGGCACUUUGUUUUCAAAUUAGUGUGAAAGAGUGUGGAGAGAGUCAACUUACACUGUAGUAACUUAACUUUUGCACAUAUAUCUAUAUAGUAAAAUAUAAUUAAAAAUAAAUAGGAGCACCAAAAAAUACGUCUUUAUACUUUCGUGUCUACCCGCCGAAAAA